Scylla paramamosain (green mud crab) is the source of this 1794-nucleotide long non-coding RNA. RefSeq lists it as uncharacterized. The record is from RefSeq and is a predicted model, not a curated record. The transcript is spliced from 4 exons. Lineage: Eukaryota; Metazoa; Arthropoda; Malacostraca; Decapoda; Portunidae.
ACCAACACUGGCUCACCAAAACAGACCAGCGCGCCCUCUGUAGUUGUUGGCUACAGAUUACCUUAUUUUUAAAAGAUUCCCUGCACUUUACUCACCACACACUUGUAUUUACCAGGCUUCAAAGUGAGAGUACGGAAGAGUGAGAGACAAAGAAUUGGGGAGAAGGCUUCAAACAGAGUAUGAAAGGAGGCAAGAGAGAUGGAGGAGAGAAGGAGAGAGGAUGCCAAGGUGGGCCAGAAGUUAGCGGCCUCAGCCCAUACCCUCACAGACAGCGAGAAAGAGGAAGAGGAAAGAAGAGGUGGAAGAGGAAGCUCAUCUCUCCACAUACCAGGGAAAGAGGAAAGGAAGGAGGGAUGUUAGUCAAGCUAAUAGAGAAGAAGGAAGAGAGAGGGAGAGGAGAGACCUGUGAAGAAGAGGGCACACAAAAUGAGACCCAUGGCGGUCUUCACAAACCACCUGGCAGCCAGUGUUUCUUAUGGCUUCUUCCUCAGCAAGUGUUACAGUGUGGAAGGGAUGUAUGAUGAUCCCCUCACUCUAGUCUUCAAUGACCUCCUCUGUCCUACCUUUGGCACCCUGGUGGGGAGUGCAUAGGUGAGAGUGAGAGUGUGGUGUGUGGGUGUGGGGUUUUGUGGUGUGUGAGAGAGAGAGAGAGGGGUGUAUGUAAGGGUGCAUGCACAGAGGAGGCUGAUUUUCUUGUGUGAGUGAGCAGCGCCAGCGUUCCCUGUGCAAGCACCCAAAGGGCAGUGUCACACUGAGUGGCAGCAUGGCAUGACCAGUGUCAUGUCACAGUGUCUGGCCAGGCCACACACACAGUGCACAGGUCACCCUGGCACCCAGUAUGGACAGGCAUGUUGUCUGAGCCUAAGGCUAUUUGUGCACUGGAGGCAGAGGGAGACACCAGCUGCAUCCUCUUCAUGCUGAAGGGAAGCUACUGAAAGAUUUGAUAAGUAGUGCAACAAUGUAAGGAAACAUGCACUGGAGGCAGAAGGAGACACUGGCUGCAUCCUUUCCAUGCUGAAGAGAAGCUACUGAAAGGUUUGAUAAGUUGUGUGACAGUCUAAAGAAAUGUGAUGAAGAGUUGUUUGAGCAUUACUGAAUGACCUCGGCUUGUUUUUGCUGAAGUGUUGCAGGUUGUGCGGCCUCACAGCUACAGGCAGAACACGCAGCUUUACAGGGCAAUGUCUACACAGGAAAGAUUGACUGUUCCCAGAGUGGUAGUGGCCUCUCUUGCACACAUUGUUUUCAGAGUGGUGGUGGCCUUUCUUGCACACACUGCUCCCAGAGUGGUGGUGGCCUCUCUUGUGAUGGUAGGUGGAAUAGAUGAUGAUCUGGCAAGUGUUAUUGUUGUAUUUCUCUUUUAUUGUUAUAUUUAUUUUGUGGCAUUGAAGAUGGUAGGUGGAGGAGAUUUGGAAACUAAUUUAUUGUGGUGUGUGUGUGGUGGAGGGAAUCACACUUAUACACACAACAUAUAUUGAAAUAAAGAACAGUCUAUGAGAGAGAGAGAGAGAGAAAUGAUUUUACAUAGAAAAAAGAACAAGUAAGAUGGUUUUAACAUGAGAUGCCUUCCAGUUGUUUGGGAGAAUUAGCCGUGCACUGCACUUCCUCUUCCCUCCUACAGUAAGCUUAGUUGAGUGGGAGGUUUUUAUCUAGUUACUGGUUAAAUAUUAUUCUUAAGAUAAGGUGUGGCCAAGGAUUACGUCAAGCAAAGUAAGGUCGUGGCAUUCUUAGUAUUGUUUGUUCCAGUUUGUGUGUAGCAAAAUCCUGUUUCAUGAAUAUAGUUAUUACUAAUAUUGC